CACAUACUGAAAAUGGGCGGAGAGCACGGAGCCGGUCUGCGGACCGCCUGAGCAUUCACUAUCCAAAUGCGCUGUCUAAGGAUACUCACGAGUGCUCGUGGCCCGGCAUGAAAAUUCAUUUGAUGCAGAUAGCGAACGUAUGUCUGCACAAACUGCGAGCG
Molecule: long non-coding RNA, 161 nt
Organism: Drosophila miranda
Lineage: Eukaryota; Metazoa; Arthropoda; Insecta; Diptera; Drosophilidae
Exons: 2
Source: RefSeq, a predicted model, not a curated record